CCUGGUUGAUCCUGCCAG
Molecule: non-coding RNA, 18 nt
Filed under: Arabidopsis thaliana (thale cress)
Lineage: Eukaryota; Viridiplantae; Streptophyta; Magnoliopsida; Brassicales; Brassicaceae
Also listed under: 1 other name
Source: RNAcentral